RNAcentral lists this ribosomal RNA (497 nucleotides) under uncultured bacterium. RNAcentral's name for it is "partial 16S ribosomal RNA". It matches the Rfam family "Bacterial small subunit ribosomal RNA", at positions 28 to 507 of the family's 1533-position model. The record is from RNAcentral.
GAUGAACGCUGGCGGCGUGCCUAAUACAUGCAAGUCGAGCGAACAGACGAGGAGCUUGCUCCUCUGACGUUAGCGGCGGACGGGUGAGUAACACGUGGAUAACCUACCUAUAAGACUGGGAUAACUUCGGGAAACCGGAGCUAAUACCGGAUAAUAUAUUGAACCGCAUGGUUCAAUAGUGAAAGACGGUUUUGCUGUCACUUAUAGAUGGAUCCGCGCCGCAUUAGCUAGUUGGUAAGGUAACGGCUUACCAAGGCAACGAUGCGUAGCCGACCUGAGAGGGUGUAGCCCCCCACUGGAGCGGGAAGACGGUCCAGGCUCCUAGGGGAGGCAGCGGUGGGGAAGCGACCGCGAUGGGGGGAAGAUUGACGGAGGAGCGCAACGUGGAUGAUGAGGGGCGGCGGAUCGUAAGACUCUGUUAUGGUGGAAGAACAAAUGCGUAAGUAACGAAGCACGUCUUGACGGUACCGAGUCAGGAAGCAAAGGCUAACUACGUG